AAAGUUUGACAGACAAUCGCUGGUGGCUUCGCGCCACGAGAGGAAAGUCCGGGCUCCACAGGGCAGAAUGCUGGAUAACGUCCAGUCAGCGCGAGCUGAAGGAUCAGGGCCACAGAAAUGGACCGCCGAUGAUCUCUAUUCUCCCGAACUAGAUUCGGGGUAGAGAAACAGGCAAGGAUGGAACCGUGGUGUAAGAGACCACGAGGAGCACUGGCGACUUUGCUCCUGGUAAACCCCAUUUGGAGCAAGACCGAGGAGAACGCAGGCAACCGCCAGCCCUAGCCCGGGGUGCGUUCGGGUUGGUCGCUUGAGCCGUAUAGCAAUGUGCGGCCUAGAAAGAUGAUUGUCGCUUCAGUCCGUGGGAGGAUUGCCUUCGAGCAGUCCGCUAUGACCACUUGAAGUACAGAACCCGGCUUACGGCAAGCUUUCCGG
Molecule: RNase P RNA, 432 nt
Filed under: Cohnella cholangitidis
Lineage: Bacteria; Bacillati; Bacillota; Bacilli; Caryophanales; Paenibacillaceae
Description: Bacterial RNase P class A
Rfam family: Bacterial RNase P class A
About the family: Ribonuclease P (RNase P) is a ubiquitous endoribonuclease, found in archaea, bacteria and eukarya as well as chloroplasts and mitochondria. Its best characterised activity is the generation of mature 5'-ends of tRNAs by cleaving the 5'-leader elements of precursor-tRNAs.
Source: Rfam by way of RNAcentral